Molecule: transfer RNA, 75 nt
Filed under: Pseudomonadota bacterium
Lineage: Bacteria; Pseudomonadati; Pseudomonadota
Also listed under: 1 other name
Description: tRNA-Glu
Rfam family: tRNA
About the family: Transfer RNA (tRNA) molecules are approximately 80 nucleotides in length. Their secondary structure includes four short double-helical elements and three loops (D, anti-codon, and T loops). Further hydrogen bonds mediate the characteristic L-shaped molecular structure. tRNAs have two regions of fundamental functional importance: the anti-codon, which is responsible for specific mRNA codon recognition, and the 3' end, to which the tRNAs corresponding amino acid is attached (by aminoacyl-tRNA synthetases). tRNAs cope with the degeneracy of the genetic code in two manners: having more than one tRNA (with a specific anti-codon) for a particular amino acid; and 'wobble' base-pairing, i.e. permitting non-standard base-pairing at the 3rd anti-codon position.
Source: RNAcentral
GCCCCGUUGGUGUAGACGGCCUAACACGCCACCCUCUCAAGGUGGAGAUCACGGGUUCGAAUCCCGUACGGGGUG